GUAUUGGCAUGGGUAGUACUGGAUAGUGCUGUCGACCUCUCAAUGUAUUAGGUUUAUCCAACUCGUUGAAUGGUGUGGCGGGAUAUUUCUGGUAUUGUUGGCCCGGCCUUACAACAACCAAACAAGUUUGACCUCAAAUCAGGUAGGAAUACCCGCUGAACUUAAGCAUAUCAAUAAGCGGAGGAAAAGAAACCAACAGGAUUGCCUUAGUAGCGGCGAGUGAAGCGGCAAAAGCUCAAAUUUGAAAUCUGGCGCCUUCGGUGUCCGAGUUGUAAUUUGAAGAUUGUAACCUUGGGGUUGGCUCUUGUCUAUGUUUCUUGGAACAGGACGUCACAGAGGGUGAGAAUCCCGUGCGAUGAGAUGCCCAAUUCUAUGUAAGGUGCUUUCGAAGAGUCGAGUUGUUUGGGAAUGCAGCUCUAAGUGGGUGGUAAAUUCCAUCUAAAGCUAAAUAUUGGCGAGAGACCGAUAGCGAACAAGUACAGUGAUGGAAAGAUGAAAAGAACUUUGAAAAGAGAGUGAAAAAGUACGUGAAAUUGUUGAAAGGGAAGGGUUUGAGAUCAGACUCGAUAUUUUGUGAGCCUUGCCUUCGUGGCGGGGUGACCCGCAGCUUAUCGGGCCAGCAUCGGUUUGGGCGGUAGGAUAAUGGCGUAGGAAUGUGACUUUACUUCGGUGAAGUGUUAUAGCCUGCGUUGAUGCUGCCUGCCUAGACCGAGGACUGCGAUUUUAUCAAGGAUGCUGGCAUAAUGAUCCCAAACCGCCCGUCUUGAAACACGGACCAAGGAGUCUAACGUCUAUGCGAGUGUUUGGGUGUUAAC
This 815-nucleotide ribosomal RNA is filed under the name Meyerozyma guilliermondii. RNAcentral's name for it is "LSU rRNA". The stretch from base 129 to 815 matches the Rfam family "Eukaryotic large subunit ribosomal RNA", at positions 1 to 705 of the family's 3401-position model. Lineage: Eukaryota; Fungi; Ascomycota; Pichiomycetes; Serinales; Debaryomycetaceae. The record is from RNAcentral.